UACAGAGGGGGCAAGCGUUGUUCGGAAUUACUGGACGUAAAGGGCGCGUAGGCGGCCUUCUAAGUCGAACGUGAAAUCCCCGGGCUCAACCCGGGAACUGCGUCCGAUACUGGAAGGCUUGAAUCCGGGAGAGGGAUGUGGAAUUCCAGGUGUAGCGGUGAAAUGCGUAGAUAUCUGGAGGAACACCGGUGGCGAAGGCGACAUCCUGGGCCGGUAUUGACGCUGAGGCGCGAAAGCCAGGGGAGCAAACGGG
RNAcentral lists this ribosomal RNA (253 nucleotides) under uncultured bacterium. Its description in RNAcentral is "partial 16S ribosomal RNA". It matches the Rfam family "Bacterial small subunit ribosomal RNA", at positions 524 to 776 of the family's 1533-position model. The record is from RNAcentral.